GACGAACGCUGGCGGCGUGCUUAACACAUGCAAGUCGAACGGAAAGGCCCUGCUUUUGUGGGGUGCUCGAGUGGCGAACGGGUGAGUAACACGUGAGUAACCUGCCCUUGACUUUGGGAUAACUUCAGGAAACUGGGGCUAAUACCGGAUAGGAGCUCCUGCUGCAUGGUGGGGGUUGGAAAGUUUCGGCGGUUGGGUAUGGACUCGCGGCUUAUCAGCUUGUUGGUGGGGUAGUGGCUUACCAAGGCUUUGACGGGUAGCCGGCCUGAGAGGGUGACCGGCCACAUUGGGACUGAGAUACGGCCCAGACUCCUACGGGAGGCAGAAGUGGGGAAUAUUGCACAAUGGGCGGAAGCCUGAUGCAGCAACGCCGCGUGCGGGAUGACGGCCUUCGGGUUGUAAACCGCUUUCGCCUGUGACGAAGCGUGAGUGACGGUAAUGGGUAAAGAAGCACCGGCUAACUACGUG
Molecule: ribosomal RNA, 468 nt
Filed under: uncultured bacterium
Lineage: Bacteria
Description: partial 16S ribosomal RNA
Rfam family: Bacterial small subunit ribosomal RNA
Source: RNAcentral